RNAcentral lists this non-coding RNA (573 nucleotides) under Sarcophilus harrisii (Tasmanian devil). RNAcentral describes it as "Bacterial small subunit ribosomal RNA". It matches the Rfam family "Bacterial small subunit ribosomal RNA", at positions 8 to 947 of the family's 1533-position model. The record is from Rfam by way of RNAcentral. Lineage: Eukaryota; Metazoa; Chordata; Mammalia; Dasyuromorphia; Dasyuridae.
AAGGACAAAGGUUUGGUCCUGACCUUACUGUUAAUUUUUAUUAGACCUACACAUGCAAGUUUCCACAAUCCAGUGAGUCUGUCCUUUUAACUUCCAUUGAGUUUAAAGGAGCGGGUAUCAGGCACACUUCCCAAAGUAACACAUGACAACUUGUUUAACCUCACCCCCACAGGUUAUAGCAGUGACUAACAUUGAGCUAUAAACGAAAGUUUGACUAAAUCAUAAUAAAAAGGGUUGGUAAAUCUCAUGCCAGUCACCGUGGUCAUACAAUUAACCCAAAUUAACAGAAGAAUGGUGUAAAACGAGUUUAAGCAUUCAAUUUACCAAAUAAAAUGAAAGCUCAACUGUUCUGUAAUACGCCCUAGUUGAUAUUAAAAUACGCAAUUUACGUGUCUUUACCCAGGCUGAAGACACUAAAGCUAAGGUACAAACUGGGAUUAGAGACCCCACUAUGCUUAGCCAUAAACUGAAGUAAUUAAAUAAUAAAAUUACUCACCAGAGAACUACUAGCCACUGCUUAAAAUUCAAAGGACUUGGUGGUGUCCUAGACCCUCGUAGAGGAGCCUGUUCUAU